GAUAAACGCUGGCGGCGUGCAUUAGACAUGCAAGUCGAACGGACUUUUCGGGGCUUGCUCUGAAAGUUAGUGGCGGACGGCUGAGUAACGCGUGGGUGACCUACCCGAAGUGGGAUAACUGCCGAAGGUGGCUAAUACCGCAUGUGAUCGUUUGUUCAUUCGGACGAUCAAAGCAGUAAUGCGCUUUGGGAGGGCCUGCGUCCGAUUAGCUCGUUGGUGGGGUAAUGGCUCACCAAGGCGACGAUCGGUAGGUGGUCUGAGAGGACGAUCACCCAGACUGGGACUGAGACACGGCCCAGACUCCUACGGGAGGCAG
This 316-nucleotide ribosomal RNA is filed under the name uncultured Chloroflexota bacterium. RNAcentral describes it as "bacterial SSU rRNA". It matches the Rfam family "Bacterial small subunit ribosomal RNA", at positions 28 to 351 of the family's 1533-position model. Lineage: Bacteria; Bacillati; Chloroflexota. The record is from RNAcentral.